Molecule: ribosomal RNA, 465 nt
Filed under: Vreelandella stevensii
Lineage: Bacteria; Pseudomonadati; Pseudomonadota; Gammaproteobacteria; Oceanospirillales; Halomonadaceae
Description: partial 16S ribosomal RNA
Rfam family: Bacterial small subunit ribosomal RNA
Source: RNAcentral
CCUACGGGGGGCUGCAGUGGGGAAUAUUGGACAAUGGGGGCAACCCUGAUCCAGCCAUGCCGCGUGUGUGAAGAAGGCCCUCGGGUUGUAAAGCACUUUCAGUGAGGAAGAACGCCUGGUGGUUAAUACCCAUCAGGAAAGACAUCACUCACAGCAGAAGCACCGGCUAACUCCGUGCCAGCAGCCGCGGUAAUACGGAGGGUGCGAGCGUUAAUCGGAAUUACUGGGCGUAAAGCGCGCGUAGGUGGCUUGAUAAGCCGGUUGUGAAAGCCCCGGGCUCAACCUGGGAACGGCAUCCGGAACUGUGAAGCUAGAGUGCAGGAGAGGAAGGUAGAAUUCCCGGUGUAGCGGUGAAAUGCGUAGAGAUCGGGAGGAAUACCAGUGGCGAAGGCGGCCUUCUGGACUGAAACUGACGCUGAGGUGCGAAAGCGUGGGUAGCAAACAGGAUUAGAUACCCUAGUAGUC